Manis pentadactyla (Chinese pangolin) is the source of this 164-nucleotide small nuclear RNA. RefSeq annotates it as U1 spliceosomal RNA. The transcript has a single exon. NCBI's taxonomy places the organism in Eukaryota, Metazoa, Chordata, Mammalia, Pholidota, Manidae. The record is from RefSeq and is a predicted model, not a curated record.
GUACUUACCUGGCAGGGGAUACACCUGAUCAAUGGGGUGGUUUCCCCCGGGUGAGGCUUAUCCAUUGCCCUCCGGAUGUGUUGACCCCCCGCAAUCUUGUCAAAGGUGGGAAACUCGAUUGCAUCAUUUGUGGUUAUGAGAGGCUGCAUUAGUGCUUACCCCUA